RNAcentral lists this ribosomal RNA (505 nucleotides) under uncultured bacterium. Its description in RNAcentral is "partial 16S ribosomal RNA". It matches the Rfam family "Bacterial small subunit ribosomal RNA", at positions 28 to 507 of the family's 1533-position model. The record is from RNAcentral.
GACGAACGCUGGCGGCGUGCCUAAUACAUGCGAGUAGAACGCACAGUUUAUACCGUAGCUUGCUACACCAUAAACUGUGAGUUGCGAGCGGGUGAGUAACGCGUAGGUAACCUGCCUGGUAGCGGGGGAUAACUAUUGGAAACGAUAGCUAAUACCGCAUAAUAUUGAUUAUUGCAUGAUAAUUGAUUGAAAGAUGCUAUUGCAUCACUACCAGAUGGACCUGCGUUGUAUUAGCUAGUAGGUGAGGUAACGGCUCACCUAGGCGACGAUACAUAGCCGACCUGAGAGGGUGAUCGGCCACACUGGGACUGAGACACGGCCCAGACUCCUACGGGAGGCAGCAGUAGGGAAUCUUCGGCAAUGGACGAAAGUCUGACCGGGCAACGCCGCGUGAGUGAAGAAGGUUUUCGGAUCGUAAAGCUCUGUUGUAAGAGAAGAACGGGUGUGAGAGUGGAAAGUUCACACUGUGACGGUAUCUUACCAGAAAGGGACGGCUAACUACGUG